This 1207-nucleotide ribosomal RNA is filed under the name human gut metagenome. RNAcentral's name for it is "bacterial LSU rRNA". It matches the Rfam family "Bacterial large subunit ribosomal RNA", at positions 1271 to 2487 of the family's 2925-position model. The record is from RNAcentral.
UGCUGGAGCGUGUGGAAAAGCAAAUGUAGGUAUAAGUAACGAUAAAGGGGGUGAGAAACCCCCUCGCCGCAAGACUCAGGUUUCCUGAUCAACGCUAAUCGGAUCAGGGUCAGUCGGGUCCUAAGGCUCAGCCGAACGGCGAGGCCGAUGGCAGAACCGGUUAAUAUUCCGGUACUACCCUUUAGGGUGACGUGGAGACGCAGUCGUGACAAUGCCGCCAGCUGACGGAAUAGCUGGUUAAAGGGUGUAGAAGUUGAUUGUGGCAGGCAAAUCCACCACAAGAUUCGAACCUGACAGUAUGGAGCGUCCUUCCGGACAAUCCAACAGUGCAUGUAAUCAUACUGCCAAGAAAAUCCGCUAAACAUAACCUUCAGGGUACCCGUACCGCAAACGGACACACGUAGUCGGGUUGAAUAUACUAAGGCGCUUGAGUGAUUCACGGUUAAGGAACUAGGCAAAUUAACCCUGUAACUUCGGGAAAAAGGGUCCCUACCCGUUAUCGGGAGGGCGCAGAGAAUCGGUCCAGGCAACUGUUUAACAAAAACACAGGGCUGUGCGAAGUCGAAAGACGCUGUAUACAGCCUGACACCUGCCCGGUGCUGGAAGGUUAAGAGGAGAUGUCAUCGCAAGAGAAGCAUUGAAUUGAAGCCCCAGUAAACGGCGGCCGUAACUAUAACGGUCCUAAGGUAGCGAAAUUCCUUGUCGGGUAAGUUCCGACCUGCACGAAUGGUGUAAUGAUCUGGACACUGUCUCAACCGUGAGCUCAGUGAAAUUGUAGUAUCGGUGAAGAUGCCGAUUACCCGCGAUGGGACGAAAAGACCCCGUGAACCUUUACUAUAGCUUAUCAUUGAAUUUGGGCACGUGAUGUGUAGGAUAGGUCGGAGGCUUUGAAGCAGGCACGCCAGUGUUUGUGGAGCCGCUGUUGAAAUACGACCCUUCAUUUGUUUGAGUUCUAACUCGUAAUACGAGGACACUGAUUGGUGGGUAGUUUGACUGGGGUGGUCGCCUCCAAAAGUGUAACGGAGGCUUCUAAAGGUGCCCUCAGACCGAUUGGUAACCGGUCUCAGAGUGUAAUGGCAUAAGGGCGCUUGACUGGGAGACUAACAAGUCGAGCAGGUAGGAAACUAGAGCAUAGUGAUCCGGUGUUUCCGCAUGGAAGGGACAUCGCUCAAAGGAUAAAAGGUACUCCGGGGAUAACAGGCUGAUC